Molecule: long non-coding RNA, 456 nt
Filed under: Panax ginseng (ginseng)
Lineage: Eukaryota; Viridiplantae; Streptophyta; Magnoliopsida; Apiales; Araliaceae
Description: long non-coding RNA (PGIN_LNC014205)
Source: RNAcentral
ACUCUUCAAAUUUUUCUUCUAUCCUAUCUAGCUGUUUUCCUACAGUUGCUAGAUAUUGAUUACUGAAGUUUAAUUAUUCUAUAAUUUUCUUAUCAUUAUUACUAGCAUCAGAAAUUUUGAAUGGACUGGCUACAACUGAAGUAUUUUUAACUGAAAUUAGAACAGUUUCUAAAGGAGGAUGACUAGAAGAAACUCUUAAUUUAUCUUCUUUAAUCCAUUGAGUUUUGGUUAUUACAUUACAUUUACUUUGAAAUUAUUCAUACCAAUCAUAAAAUGUAAUAUUCAAACUCUCACUUUUAAUGAAUCUUUUCCAUCUAUUGACUAUCUUAUCACGUUCUCUUUCAGUGGGGUGAUUAGAUCUGAAUAAAUGUCUUUUUUCCUUAUUAGAUUUGGAAUUAAAAUCUUUUACCAGAUAGUCCCAAUCUAAUACAAACUCUUUUUUAAUGACUCUUAAUU